GAGGAGGAGAGACGCUGAGCUGGAGCAGCUUUCACACACACAGGAUCACAUCCAGUUCCUGCAGAGUUUCUCUGUGCCUCCUGAAUCCACAGAGCAGCCCUUUACCAUCAAUUCUCACCUCUCUUUCAAUCAUGUGAAGAAAUCGUUUUCUAAACUGAAAGAAAAACUGGAGGAUUUCUGCAAAGAGAUUGAACAUAUUUCUAACAGAGGUAAUGUGUCACAUCACAUAGAAGAAACAACCUAUUGAAAACAAUAUGGAAGAGAUCAUGUUUUACCAUAGGAAUCACAUUAAUUAUGUCUUUAUGUUCACAGUAAUGUACAGUGAAAUUAUUCCCCUCAAAGAACUGAAGACCAGGCCAGAGUUCCUGCAGUAUUGCAGGUUUCUGACUCUGGAUCUGAACACAGUGAAUAAAUACAUCCAUCUGUAUGAGGGAAACAGAGCAGCUACAAGCACUGAAACAGUCCAGAC
Molecule: long non-coding RNA, 469 nt
Organism: Cyprinus carpio (common carp)
Lineage: Eukaryota; Metazoa; Chordata; Actinopteri; Cypriniformes; Cyprinidae
Exons: 3
Source: RefSeq, a predicted model, not a curated record